RNAcentral lists this ribosomal RNA (467 nucleotides) under uncultured bacterium. RNAcentral's name for it is "partial 16S ribosomal RNA". It matches the Rfam family "Bacterial small subunit ribosomal RNA", at positions 28 to 507 of the family's 1533-position model. The record is from RNAcentral.
GAUGAACGCUGGCGGCGCGCCUAACACAUGCAAGUCGAACGAUUAAAGCACCUUCGGGUGUGUAUAAAGUGGCGAACGGCUGAGUAACACGUGGGCAACCUGCCCCUUUCAUUGGGGUAGCCACGGGAAACCGUGGAUAAUACCGAAUACUUCGAGACUUCCGCAUGGAAGACUCGAGAAAGCUCCGGCGGAGAGGGAUGGGCCCGCGGCCUGUUAGCUUGUUGGUGGGGUAACGGCCUACCAAGGCAAUGAUGGGUAGCUGGGUCGAGAGACCGACCAGCCAGAUUGGGACUGAGACACGGCCCAGACUCCUACGGGAGGCAGCAGUGGGGAAUCUUGCACAAUGGGCGAAAGCCUGAUGCAGCGACGCCGCGUGCGGGAUGAAGGCCUUCGGGUUGUAAACCGCUUUCAGCAGGGACGAGGCGAAAGUGACGGUACCUGCAGAAGAAGCCCCGGCUAACUACGUG